CCUACGGGUGGCUGCAGUGAGGAAUAUUGGUCAAUGGGCGCGAGCCUGAACCAGCCAAGUAGCGUGAAGGAUGACUGCCCUACGGGUUGUAAACUUCUUUUAUCAAGGAAUAAAGUGAGGCACGUGUGCCUUUUUGUAUGUACUUUAUGAAUAAGAAUCGGCUAACUCCGUGCCAGCAGCCGCGGUAAUACGGAGGAUCCGAGCGUUAUCCGGAUUUAUUGGGUUUAAAGGGAGCGUAGAUGGGUUGUUAAGUCAGUUGUGAAAGUUUGCGGCUCAACCGUAAAAUUGCAAUUGAUACUGGCAGCCUUGAGUAGAGUUGAGGUAGGCGGAAUGCGUGGUGUAGCGGUGAAAUGCUUAGAUAUCACGAAGAACUCCGAUUGCGAAGGCAGCGUACUAAACUGACACUGACGUUGAUGCUCGAAAGUGUGGGUAUCAAACAGGAUUAGAUACCCGGGUAGUC
This 460-nucleotide ribosomal RNA is filed under the name uncultured bacterium. RNAcentral describes it as "partial 16S ribosomal RNA". It matches the Rfam family "Bacterial small subunit ribosomal RNA", at positions 338 to 795 of the family's 1533-position model. The record is from RNAcentral.